AUUGAACGCUGGCGGAAUGCUUUACACAUGCAAGUCGAACGGCAGCACGGACUUCGGUCUGGUGGCGAGUGGCGAACGGGUGAGUAAUGUAUCGGAACGUGCCCAGUCGUGGGGGAUAACGUAGUGAAAAUUACGCUAAUACCGCAUACGAUCUAUGGAUGAAAGCGGGGGAUCGCAAGACCUCGCGCGAUUGGAGCGGCCGAUAUCAGAUUAGGUAGUUGGUGGGGUAAAGGCCCACCAAGCCAACGAUCUGUAGCUGGUCUGAGAGGACGACAAGCCACACGGGAACGGGGACACGGUCCAGACUCCUACGGGAGGCAGCAGUGGGGAAUUUUGGACAAUGGGCGAAAGCCUGAUCCAGCCAUUCCGCGUGCAGGAUGAAGGCCCUCGGGUUGUAAACUGCUUUUGUACAGAACGAAAAGGUUUCUACUAAUACUAGGAGCUCAUGACGGUACUGUAAGAAUAAGCACCGGCUAACUACGUGCCAGCCGCCGCUGUAA
Molecule: ribosomal RNA, 500 nt
Filed under: uncultured bacterium
Lineage: Bacteria
Description: partial 16S ribosomal RNA
Rfam family: Bacterial small subunit ribosomal RNA
Source: RNAcentral